UGCCACAUGUAGCUGCAGCUCCUACGGAAUACCAUGCACCAGGGUGAAUGAAGAAGACCAGGGAGCUGCAGGAGCUCCGCUGCAAAAUCCUUUGCAUGCUCAGCACCGCACAAGCUCCUCAGCUGAUUGAAGUGGACAGAAAGAAUUACUGCUGACAAGCAAAUUGUGAAUAAGGUAGGAUGAGGGCAGUUGUAAAGGGAAGGAAUUCGGGAGCCCUUCGUACCAUGACACUUUUGGAAGAAUGCUUUCAGUCUUUCGACCCCCAAAAUCACUCUAAAGGUAAAGAGAUACAAUUACUCUGA
RNAcentral lists this long non-coding RNA (302 nucleotides) under Callithrix jacchus (white-tufted-ear marmoset). RNAcentral's name for it is "lncRNA (ENSCJAG00000074114.1)". Lineage: Eukaryota; Metazoa; Chordata; Mammalia; Primates; Cebidae. The record is from RNAcentral.